Ictidomys tridecemlineatus (thirteen-lined ground squirrel) is the source of this 604-nucleotide non-coding RNA. The record is from RefSeq and is a predicted model, not a curated record. NCBI's taxonomy places the organism in Eukaryota, Metazoa, Chordata, Mammalia, Rodentia, Sciuridae.
AGAUGCAGUGGGUCAUGAAUUACAGACAGUAAGAUGAAACAAUCACUGAUUGACUGUAUCAAUGUAUAUACCAAUCCUAGAGAGAAGAGCCAGAGGUAUGCCUCACAGCACUGAAAUUAGCCCCACCCUGGUCAAUAUUUACAAUCUGAAGGAAGUUAAAGGGAAUUCUUAUCAAAACUCCCUUUGAUAGAUGGCACAAAUUGUUAAUAUACUGGUUAAAAGCUUGUCAGCCUUGAACCUGGAACCAAAUAAAUAACAGAAAAUUUUAGAAGGUAUAAGGGCCAUCAUUUGUCUGGGGCAGACUAAAGGAGGACAAGGAGUGCUGUAUUAUUCUGUGGCAACUUAACUGGGUUCAAUUAAGGGCGGCAUCCCCACGGCAAGUGCUUGCGGGUCUCUGUGUCGUUGUUCAGGAUCUCAGCGGUUCAAUGCUCCAGCAAGGAUCUCCAAGGGGAAGCGCACGCUUUCUUAGAGGCACUCGCUUCGCCUCGCCCUGCAGUCCUUCCUCGGGCUCCGCAAGGUUAGCUGCAGCAACAUCCCCAAGCGCCAGUCCAGUCCGGAUUCGGGGUCGGGGUCACCUAGCGGCCGUGCGGGCGUCGGCUCGCGC